ACUCAGAUACAUGAAACUUUUUCAGAUCCUUGUAUUUGUUCAAAAGCUUUUGAUACUUUUCCAGAACUUCUGAUAAACUGGAUUCAAUUUUAGAGCAAGAAAGUUCAGCAAAUACCUCUUCAGAAUCUGUCUCAUAUUCUGUUUCUAAUUGAAUCUUACCAGUAAGAGCUUAGGUGCAUGCCAUCGAUGCAACAUUAGCUUUCUAUUUCUAAGAGUCAUGUUCUGAGGAUUUUGAAUCAUCCACGGGUAGCCAUCAGACCCUUUUUCUUCCCUCUGAAGUCUUU
This 284-nucleotide long non-coding RNA is filed under the name Lathyrus oleraceus (garden pea). RNAcentral describes it as "Pisum sativum (pea) long non-coding RNA (PSAT_LNC039264)". Lineage: Eukaryota; Viridiplantae; Streptophyta; Magnoliopsida; Fabales; Fabaceae. The record is from RNAcentral.